Molecule: ribosomal RNA, 487 nt
Filed under: uncultured bacterium
Lineage: Bacteria
Description: bacterial SSU rRNA
Rfam family: Bacterial small subunit ribosomal RNA
Source: RNAcentral
UGAGGACCAGAGAUGGACCUCUUCAUUUAGUUGGCGGGAACACAGGUGCUGCAUGGCUGUCGUCAGCUCGUGUCGUGAGAUGUUGGGUUAAGUCCCGCAACGAGCGCAACCCUCGCCUUCAGUUGCCAUCAUUCAGUUGGGCACUCUGGAGGGACUGCCGGUGACAAGCCGGAGGAAGGUGGGGAUGACGUCAAGUCCUCAUGGCCCUUACGGGCUGGGCUACACACGUGCUACAAUGGUGGUGACAAUGGGCAGCGACGGGGUGACCCUGAGCAAAUCCCCAAAAGCCAUCUCAGUUCGGAUUGCACUCUGCAACUCGGGUGCAUGAAGUUGGAAUCGCUAGUAAUCGCGCAACAGCAUGGCGCGGUGAAUACGUUCCCGGGCCUUGUACACACCGCCCGUCACACCAUGGGAGUUGGUCUUACCCUAAGACGGUGCGCUAACCGCAAGGAGGCAGCCGGCCACGGUAAGGUCAGUGACUGGGGUG